UACAGAGGUCUCAAGCGUUGUUCGGAUUCAUUGGGCGUAAAGGGUGCGUAGGUGGCGCGAUAAGUCGGGUGUGAAAUCUCGGAGCUUAACUCCGAAAUUGCAUUCGAUACUGCCGUGCUCGAGGACUGGAGAGGAGACUGGAAUUCAUGGUGUAGUAGUGAAAUGCGUAGAGAUCAUGAGGAAGACCAGUGGCGAAGGCGGGUCUCUGGGCAGUAACUGACGCUGAGGAGCGAAAGCGUGGGGAGCGAACGGG
RNAcentral lists this ribosomal RNA (253 nucleotides) under uncultured bacterium. Its description in RNAcentral is "partial 16S ribosomal RNA". It matches the Rfam family "Bacterial small subunit ribosomal RNA", at positions 524 to 776 of the family's 1533-position model. The record is from RNAcentral.